AACGAACGCUGGCGGCAUGCCUAACACAUGCAAGUCGAACGAGACCUUCGGGUCUAGUGGCGCACGGGUGCGUAACACGUGGGAAUCUGCCCUUUGCUUCGGAAUAACAGUUAGAAAUGACUGCUAAUACCGGAUGAUGUCGAAAGACCAAAGAUUUAUCGGCAAAGGAUGAGCCCGCGUAGGAUUAGGUAGUUGGUGGGGUAAAGGCCUACCAAGCCGACGAUCCUUAGCUGGUCUGAGAGGAUGAUCAGCCACACUGGGACUGAGACACGGCCCAGACCAGGAGGGGAGGGAGGAGGGGGAAAGAAUCGACAGGGGAGGAAAUCAUGACGCAGAAGUGUGGAGUGGGUGGGGAGGGUGUUAGUGUUAUAAUGCGUUUUUACGAGAAAAGGUAAGGCAUGUCCAGGGAGACUACGCCCCGGCAAACCCCGGGACAGCGGACGCGGUAAGCAGAGGAAGAGCAAACGUCUUAAC
This 474-nucleotide ribosomal RNA is filed under the name uncultured bacterium. RNAcentral's name for it is "partial 16S ribosomal RNA". It matches the Rfam family "Bacterial small subunit ribosomal RNA", at positions 33 to 541 of the family's 1533-position model. The record is from RNAcentral.